Molecule: transfer RNA, 85 nt
Filed under: Felis catus (domestic cat)
Lineage: Eukaryota; Metazoa; Chordata; Mammalia; Carnivora; Felidae
Rfam family: tRNA
About the family: Transfer RNA (tRNA) molecules are approximately 80 nucleotides in length.
Source: Rfam by way of RNAcentral
GCCUGGGUGGCUCAGUCGGUUGAGCAUCUGACUUCGGCUCAGGUCAUGAUCUCGCGGUCUGUGGGUAUGAACCCCAUGUCGGGUU